This 352-nucleotide unclassified non-coding RNA is filed under the name soil metagenome. Its description in RNAcentral is "partial contains 5.8S ribosomal RNA, internal transcribed spacer 2, and large subunit ribosomal RNA". The stretch from base 1 to 120 matches the Rfam family "5.8S ribosomal RNA", at positions 35 to 154 of the family's 154-position model. The record is from RNAcentral.
GAUGAAGAACGCAGCGAAAUGCGAUAAGUAGUGUGAAUUGCAGAAUUCAGUGAAUCAUCGAAUCUUUGAACGCACAUUGCGCCCGCCAGUAUUCUGGCGGGCAUGCCUGUUCGAGCGUCAUUACAACCCUCAGGCCCCCGGGCCUGGCGUUGGGGAUCGGCGGAGCCCCCCGUGGGCACACGCCGUCCCCCAACUGCAGUGGCGGUCCCGCCGCAGCUUCCAUCGCGUAGUAGCUAACACCUCGCGACUGGAGAGCGGCGCGGCCACGCCGUAAAACACCCAACUCUUCUGAAGUUGACCUCGAAUCAGGUAGGAAUACCCGCUGAACUUAAGCAUAUCAAUAAGCGGAGGA